Molecule: ribosomal RNA, 789 nt
Filed under: uncultured bacterium
Lineage: Bacteria
Description: bacterial SSU rRNA
Rfam family: Bacterial small subunit ribosomal RNA
Source: RNAcentral
AGAGUUUGAUCAUGGCUCAGAAUGAACGUUGGCGGCGUGCCUAACACAUGCAAGUCGAGCGUGAAAGUUUCUUCGGAAAUGAGUAAAGCGGCGGACGGGUGAGUAACACGUGAGAACUUGCCUUUUGGUGGAGAAUACCUUCGAGAAAUCGGAGUUAAUACUGCAUAAGUCCCUCCGGGGAGAAAGAUGGCUUUAUGCUGUCGCCGAAAGAUAGGCUUGCGGACUAUUAGCUAGUUGGUAGGGUAAAGGCCUACCAAGGCAAUGAUGGUUAACCGGCCUGAGAGGGUGAACGGUCACAUUGGAACUGAGACACGGUCCAAACUCCUACGGGAGGCAGCAGUGAGGAAUAUUGCGCAAUGGGCGAAAGCCUGACGCAGCGACGCCGCGUGAAGGAUGAAGGUCUUAGGAUUGUAAACUUCUGUUAAGUGGGAAGAAAAAGUGAUUUCUAAUACAAAUCAAAUAUGACGGUACCACUAGAGAAAGCACCGGCUAACUUCGUGCCAGCAGCCGCGGUAAUACGAGGGGUGCAAACGUUAUUCGGAAUAACUGGGCGUAAAGGGUGCGUAGACGGUUUGUUAAGCUUGUUGUUAAAUUCCCCGGCUUAACUGGGGACAUGCAGUGAGAACUGGCAUACUAGAGGAUGAGAGAGAAGAGUGGAAUUUCCGGAGUAGCGGUAAAAUGCGUAGAUCUCGGAAGGAACAUCGAUGGCGAAGGCAGCUCUUUGGCUCAUUCCUGACGUUGAGGCACGAAAGCGUGGGGAGCAAACAGGAUUAGAUACCCUAGUAGUCC